GGUUCCCUUCCUGGAGUAUUACAGUGGCUACAGUAUCUCUGAGCUUCACCCCUUGAUCAGACAGCUGAACAAACUGCUGACUUUCAGUUCUUAUGAUAGUCUCAAGGCUGUGUAUUACAAGUAUUCUCACCCGGUCUUCUUUGAAGUCACCAAAAUCCCCACCUUGGAUGUGUUGAAGCUGGAGGAGAUUUUGAACUACUGAUUGUGAGGCCAAGGGCCUGGUACUCUAGCAGCAGCCACAGGACUAGGCAUGCAUGUUAAUAGGGUAUAUUUAUUCUGUGUUUGAAUUUGUCUUUUGAUUGCUUUUAUUCAUUUUUCCUCUCUUUGUCUUUUCCCAAACUGAUAUGUUAUAAAUAUUUAUGUUGUUUGUUUUUAUGAAAGGAAAAAAUAUUGUCAUAUUUGACUACAAAUUUAAUAAAAAAUUAAUGGUUAUUGUUAAAA
This is an RNA transcript of Rhinopithecus roxellana (golden snub-nosed monkey), 441 nucleotides long. RefSeq lists it as uncharacterized. The transcript is spliced from 2 exons. The record is from RefSeq and is a predicted model, not a curated record. Lineage: Eukaryota; Metazoa; Chordata; Mammalia; Primates; Cercopithecidae.